RNAcentral lists this ribosomal RNA (253 nucleotides) under uncultured bacterium. RNAcentral describes it as "partial 16S ribosomal RNA". It matches the Rfam family "Bacterial small subunit ribosomal RNA", at positions 524 to 776 of the family's 1533-position model. The record is from RNAcentral.
UACGAAGGUCCCGAGCGUUAUCCGGAAUUAUUGGGCGUAAAGCGCAUGUAGGCGGUUUAUUAAGUCUGAUGUGAAAGCUCACGGCCUAACCGUGAAAUUGCAUUGGAAACUGGUGAACUAGAAUACUGGAGGGGUAAGUGGAAUUCCAUGUGUAGCGGUGGAAUGCGUAGAUAUAUGGAGGAACACCAAUGGCGAAGGCAGCUUACUGGACAGAGAUUGACGCUGAGAUGCGAAAGCGUGGGGAGCAAACAGG